Long non-coding RNA from Oryzias melastigma (Indian medaka), 1993 nucleotides. RefSeq lists it as uncharacterized. NCBI's taxonomy places the organism in Eukaryota, Metazoa, Chordata, Actinopteri, Beloniformes, Adrianichthyidae. The transcript has 5 exons. The record is from RefSeq and is a predicted model, not a curated record.
GCUCCGCUUUUAGACAAUAAGGGAAAUGUUAGGAUCGUCUGUUCUGCUGAGCUUUGACCUCAGUGACACUGAAAAGACGGAGGGGGCGGAGCUCUGGCGUUUCAGAUGGAGAGAGGAUGAAACGGCGGCGUGACGCCUUCAGCAGCUUCUCAGUCUAGAUGGUUCUCCUGAAGCGACAAAAUCCUAAAAAAAUCCAACAUUUCCUGAAAAGACAAACUAAAUCCUGAUAAAAAAUAAAAACGAGUCAACGUCAUUUAUAGAAGAAUCUGCAAAAGUAAACUUUUGAAUUUCUAUGGCAACGGAGGAUUCUCAUUGACCACGCCCACAUUCCUCAAAUGUUCCUAUCAGAUCUCAGCUUGAGCCAAAACCUUUUCACAGUAUCCUGUUAAAGAAUGUGUGGGUAACCAGGUAACGGCGUUUUUAGGAGCUCACCUGGUAAACAUCGUUCAAAAUCUGCACACAUCUCAUUUGCUGAUUGUUUUUUCUUCACCACUUCCUGAAGAUGACGGCGGAGUUUGGAGGGAUGGAGUUUAACUUAUAGAAGGAUUCAAAGCGUCAUCUGCGCACGUGCCCUCAAAGCCGCGCGCUGACCUUGAAGGACCCGCUCUUUGGGGUCUUCGGCCCAAAGCCGUGCGUGCUGUUGCGUGUCAGUCUGAAAUGUUCUGCGUGAAGCCUCGCGCGCGCGCGCCGCACCUGCGGUCAUCCUCCAGCCUGCACCAGUGAACGGUUCUAAAAGUGAAGCUUCAUGACUAAAAGUAGAAAAAUCAUCAUUUCUGUCCCCGAAUCCUCCUGAAGCUGCGGCUCCGAGGCGCGCGCGCGCGCACUAACUUUCUGCGGGAGUCGUCCCGCGCGCACCUACCCUGCAGCAGGACGAAGCCCACCGCCCCGUCCAGGUUGAUGUGCUCGUGCUGCCGCUCCAGGAAGGACACGCCGCGAGACAGGCUGCCGAGCACGUCAUCGAUCACCUCCGCGCACGAGCCGCACGCGGACGCCGCGAAGAGCGCGAGCGCGGCAGCCAGCCGGAGCCCCGCAGCCCGCAUCUUCAUCCGGAGGAGACAGCCGAGGACCAGCUGAGGAGGACAGACUCUUCUGCUGGGGGAGGGACGUCAGUGACGCAGCAGCCGCGUCAUCAUGACCCCGCGCGCGCGCGCCGCCCCGAGCUGCAGUGAUUCAGGACUUUACCGGACCUCCGCGGGAAACUCCGGAGAAGAAAGAAAAUACGCUGGGCGGGGCCACAAGCUCCGCCCCUUUCUGAUCUUCCACCUCCAUGAGCGUCUUUGCUUUGAGGUUUGGAUUUAAACCGUCCGGCUGGAUGUUGAUCAUCAGUUUGUUCAUGGGCCACCGUAGAGACUGAAAUCCACCCUGUAAACAUCUUUUUCAAAGAACCCACCAGAGACCAGCAGGUCUGGAACGGCUGAUGGUUCAUGGCUGGCUGGGGGGCAGUCGUCCUCGGGGUUGUUGGAAAUCUCCCAGAAUGCAGUGAGAGGAUGAACAACCAGGAGAAGAAGCUGCCGGUGACCUUCUUCAACCCCUGACGUACCGCGUCCCAGCGUGGUACGCAGGACGCCAGCCGCGGACACGAGAGCGCCGCAGAACGUGAUCGACACGGCCCAGAAGAUCACCGGCGGGAGGACAGCAGCAGAUCCCGCUAACGUAGCAGAGCAGAAAACGGAAGCAAAGACUCACCCAAACCACUGAUCCUGAAUGAAUGGAUGAAUGGAUGAAUGAAUGGAUGAAUGGAUGAAUGGAUGAAUGGAUGAAUGAAUGAAUGAAUGAGUGAAUACACUGGGACAUCUGUAGGAUUACCAUAUCUUCAGCUCAGAACGUGCUAUGUAGUGCAAUGCAUGUAUGUAUUUUGACUUUACAUAAACUUUACAUUUAAUUUUUUCCCCCCAAACCCUGACUUUUAAAUAUUAAUUAAACAGAUGGAAUUGAUCACAUUUUUCAUUGUGCAGCAAUGACAAUAAAAUGAUUUCUAACGUAUAAAAUCAAA